AUUGAACGCUGGCGGCAGGCUUAACACAUGCAAGUCGAGCGGGGGAAGGUAGCUUGCUACUGGACCUAGCGGCGGACGGGUGAGUAAUGCUUAGGAAUCUGCCUAUUAGUGGGGGACAACAUCUCGAAAGGGAUGCUAAUACCGCAUACGUCCUACGGUAUAAAGCAGGGGAUCUUCGGACCUUGCGCUAAUAGAUGAGCCUAAGUCGGAUUAGGUAGGUGGUGGGGUAAAGGCCUACCAAGGCGACGAUCUGUAGCAGGUCUGUGAGGAUGAACCGCCACACUGGGACUGAGACACGGCCCAGACUCCUACGGGAGGCAGCAGUGGGGAAUAUUGGACAAUGGGGGGAACCCUGAUCCAGCCAUGCCGCGUGUGUGAAGAAGGCCUUAUGGUUGUAAAGCACUUUAAGCGAGGAGGAGGCUACUUUAGUUAAUACCUAGAGAUAGUGGACGUUACUCGCAGAAUAAGCACCGGCUAACUCUGUGCCAGCCGCCGCCGUAA
This 501-nucleotide ribosomal RNA is filed under the name uncultured bacterium. RNAcentral's name for it is "partial 16S ribosomal RNA". It matches the Rfam family "Bacterial small subunit ribosomal RNA", at positions 30 to 523 of the family's 1533-position model. The record is from RNAcentral.